AACCCGCCUGCAUGAAGUCGGAAUCGCUAGUAAUCGCAAGUCAGCAUAUUGCGGUGAAUACGUUCCCGGGUCUUGUACACACCGCCCGUCACACCAUGGGAGUUGGCAACACCCGAAGUCGAUGAGCUAACCUUUUAGGAGGCAGUCGCCUAAGGUGGGGUUGAUAACUGGGGUGAAGUCGUAACAAGGUACC
Molecule: ribosomal RNA, 193 nt
Filed under: uncultured bacterium
Lineage: Bacteria
Description: partial 16S ribosomal RNA
Rfam family: Bacterial small subunit ribosomal RNA
Source: RNAcentral